AGAGUCAGCUGGGCAAUCGCCGGUCGUUUGCGACGGGAGGAAAGUCCGGGCUCCAUAGGGCAGGGUGCCAGGUAACGCCUGGGGGGCGAGAGCCUACGGAAAGUGCAGCAGAGAGUAGACCGCCGAUGUGUGUUAACGCCGUCGGUAAGGGUGAAAGGGUGCGGUAAGAGCGCACCGCGCACGUGGUAACACGUUGUGGCUAGGUAAACCCCACCUGGAGCAAGGCCAAAUAGAGAUCCCAUGAUACGGCCCGUAUCGGAUCUGGGUAGGCCGCUUGAGGUUGUCGGUGACGGCAACCCUAGAUGAAUGAUUGUCCAUGACAGAACCCGGCUUACAGGCUGACACUCACC
This 350-nucleotide RNase P RNA is filed under the name Gammaproteobacteria bacterium. RNAcentral's name for it is "RNase P RNA component class A". It matches the Rfam family "Bacterial RNase P class A". Rfam says of the family: Ribonuclease P (RNase P) is a ubiquitous endoribonuclease, found in archaea, bacteria and eukarya as well as chloroplasts and mitochondria. Its best characterised activity is the generation of mature 5'-ends of tRNAs by cleaving the 5'-leader elements of precursor-tRNAs. Cellular RNase Ps are ribonucleoproteins. Lineage: Bacteria; Pseudomonadati; Pseudomonadota; Gammaproteobacteria. The record is from RNAcentral.